UACGAAGGGGGCUAGCGUUGCUCGGAAUUACUGGGCGUAAAGCGCACGUAGGCGGUCUUUUAAGUCGGGGGUGAAAUCCUGGAGCUCAACUCCAGAACUGCCUUCGAUACUGGAAGACUUGAGUCCGGGAGAGGUGAGUGGAACUGCGAGUGUAGAGGUGAAAUUCGUAGAUAUUCGCAAGAACACCAGUGGCGAAGGCGGCUCACUGGCCCGGUACUGACGCUGAGGUGCGAAAGCGUGGGGAUCAAACAGG
RNAcentral lists this ribosomal RNA (253 nucleotides) under uncultured bacterium. RNAcentral describes it as "partial 16S ribosomal RNA". It matches the Rfam family "Bacterial small subunit ribosomal RNA", at positions 524 to 776 of the family's 1533-position model. The record is from RNAcentral.